Molecule: ribosomal RNA, 6606 nt
Filed under: Triticum aestivum (bread wheat)
Lineage: Eukaryota; Viridiplantae; Streptophyta; Magnoliopsida; Poales; Poaceae
Description: partial small subunit ribosomal RNA
Source: RNAcentral
CCCCUUUCGUUAUCUUUCCCUCCCUCUCUUAGGCUCCUCUGCUCACUACUGCUGCCCCUUCUGCUCCUGACCUCCAUCCCAGUAAUGCCUAGUUUGUAGACAGUGCACCUACCUCAGCCCAGCUGCCUCUCUCCUUAUCUUAGCUGAUUGCUUGGGAAAUUGACCUUCCAUUUUGCUUCCUGUGGCCGUCAGUUCAUCCUUGCUGGUAUACUGUCAAGAGCAGCUGAGAGCCAGGCCAUUGGUGGGCAUCUUGUGCUGAGCUUGCUUGCCGUUUGGCGUGCCCAUGGCACCCAAGAGCAAGCGUGGCAAGGCCAAGGGCGAGAAAAAGAAGAAAGAUGAGAAAGUGCUCCCUGUGGCCAUUGAUAUCACUGUCAACCUCCCGGAUCAGUCUGAUGUCAUUCUCAAGGGAAUUUCCACGGACAGGAUCAUUGAUGUGAGGAGGCUGCUCUGCGUCAACACCGCCACCUGUGCAAUCACAAACUACUCCCUCUUGCAUGAGACUCGUGAUGGUCACUUGAAGGAUGGCGUCGAUAUUGCGACACUGAAGCCAUAUACUCUCACCCUGGUAGAAGGGGAGUAUGACGAGGAUAGUGCGUUGGUGCACAUACGGCGGCUGCUGGACAUUGUUGCGUGCACCGCCUCCUUUGGCUCUCCACCACCUCCGCCGCCUCCUCCAUCCCCCAAGGAUGCUGAUGCCACCAAGGAGCCCUCCAACUCCAGCUCCAAGCCUGCAGCAGCGGCCUCCUCGGGCGGGCGCCGCACGGGCUCGCCACCGCCCCUGCCGAAGGAAUCAGCUGCAAAGGAUGCUGAUGCAGCGGCGGCCAAGGAGGACGCGGUCUCGGCGGAGCUGGAGGCGGAGAUGAGCGGUGCAUGCCCCCGCCUUGGAGCAUUCUACGAGUUCUUCUCUCUUGCUAACCUCUCACCGCCCCUCCACUUUAUAAAGCGAGUGACUCAACCUCGACAGGAGGAGCAACCGUCUGAUGACCAUCUCUUCUUCCUUGAGGCAAAGCUUUCUAAUGGGAAAUUUGUCAUUGUUGAAGCUCGGAGAAAGGGGUUCUUUAGUUUUGGGAAACAGCGUGUUUUGUGCCACAAUCUUGUCGACCUAUUGAGGCAUCUCAGCAGAGCAUUCGAUAAUGCAUAUGAGGAUCUUAUGAAGGCAUUUUUGGAACGGAACAAGUUCGGAAAUUUUCCUUAUGGUUAUCGUGCAAAUACAUGGCUUGUUCCUCCGAUUGCUGCCCAGUCACCAUCAACAUUUCCUCCCCUUCCUGCUGAGGAUGAAACUUGGGGAGGCAAUGGAGGUGGUUGGGGAAGGGAUGGCAAAAGUGACAUGUUGCCAUGGGCAGAUGAGUUCAUGUAUCUCACAUCCAUGCCUUGCAAAACUGCUGAGGAGAGGGAAAUUCGUGACAGGAGAGCAUUCCUACUGCACAGUCUAUUCGUAGAUGUUGCCAUCUUUAGAAGUAUUGCAGCCAUCCGGCAUGUAAUGGAGAGUACGGAUGUAUCAACAUCAAUCAAGACAGAUGAGGUCUUGCAUUCUGAGACGGUGGGAAAUUUUAGCAUCACUGUCACAAGAGAUUCUUCAGAUGCAAGCUGCAAGCUGGACACUAAGAUAGAUGGAAACCGAGCCACAGGAAUGGACUCUAAGCAUCUUGCAGAGAGAAACCUUUUGAAAGGAAUAACUGCAGAUGAAAACACUGCUGCACAUGAUGUUGACAGUUUGGGCAUCGUGAAUAUUAGAUACUGUGGAUACGUUGCUGUAGUAAAGGUUAACAAUUACGAGAAAACUAUUGUGACUUCUUUUAAGCCUGCUGAUAUCACGGAUCAACCUGAAGGGGGUGCUCAUGCAUUGAACAUUAACAGUUUGAGGAUGCUCCUAAAUGAAGCCAAUGCAACUGGAGAAAAGAAGUUACCAACACAAAGUCAUAGGCAGGAAGAACUAACUGCAGCACAAACUUAUGCUGAGAACGUGUUGAAGGAAAGUCUUCAAAAUCUUGAGGAAGAGGAGACUGAUAAACAAUCAUUUAUGAGAUGGGAACUUGGUGCCUGUUGGGUUCAGCACCUGCAAGAUCUGAAAAAAUCUGACAAAGACAAAAAACAAGGUGAUGGGAAGGAAAAGAAAAAAACGGUAGACAAAGAUGUGAAAGAGACGAAGAUUGAAGGGCUUGGGAAGCCUCUCAAAGCUCUUAAACAUCCGAAGAAUGCGGUUGAUGCUUCUGGCAAGGGAUCCUCAUCAGGGAACAAAAGUUUGACUGAUGCAACAAGCUCUGGGGAAAGCCAGAAAGUCAAGCCAUCAUCUGUUGAACCGCUUCAAGGAGACUGCAUCACCUCCGAGAAUGAAAUCUUGCUGAAGGAUGUAUUACUGGAUUCCGCCUUUACAAGGUUGAAAGAUUCAGAAACAGGACUCCACCAGAAGUCACCAUCUGAGUUGAUUGAGAUGGCUCUGAAGUUCUCUGAUGAAGUUGCGCUUCCUAAGCUGGUUGCCGAUUUUGGUUCUUUGGAACUUUCACCUGUUGAUGGUAGGACAUUGACAGAUUUCAUGCAUACCAGGGGCCUGCAGAUGCGCUCCCUAGGACGAGUUGUCAAACUUUCAGAGAAGCUCUCACACGUACAGUCCCUUUGUGUGCAUGAAAUGAUAGUGAGAGCAUUCAAGCAUAUUGUCCAAUCUGUUAUUGCAGCUACUUCAGACAUGAGACAAUUAGCAUUAACAAUAGCUGCAGUGCUGAACUUACUUCUUGGUGUUCCUGAAUCUGAAUUUUCUGGAAGUUCUCCUGCUGUGCAUCCCCUGGUGUGGAGAUGGCUUGUUGCCUUCUUGAAGAAGCGAUACCAGUAUGAGCUCACAGGGCAACAUUAUGAUGAUGUGAGGAAAUACGCUAUAUUGAGAGGACUAUGCCAUAAGGUGGGCAUUGAAUUGGCACCGCGAGAUUUUGUCAUGGAUUCUGCUUUCCCGUUUUGCAAACAGGACAUUAUUAGCCUUGUGCCCGUACAUAAGCAAGUUGCGUGCUCAUCUGCAGAUGGAAGGCAACUUCUAGAAUCCUCUAAAACAGCUCUUGACAAGGGUAAACUUGAAGAUGCUGUUAAUUAUGGAACCAAGGCCCUUGCCAAGCUCAUAAUGGUGUGUGGUCCCUAUCAUCGAAUGACGGCUGGAGCUUAUAGCCUUCUAGCUGUUGUUUUGUACCACACUGGUGAUUUUAAUCAGGCUACAAUAUAUCAGCAAAAGGCCCUAGACAUCAACGAGAGGGAACUUGGGCUUGAUCACCCUGAUACGAUGAAGAGUUACGGAGACCUUGCUGUUUUCUACUAUCGUUUACAACACACAGAACUGGCUCUGAAGUACGUCAAGCGUGCAUUAUAUCUUCUACAUCUUACAUGCGGGCCAUCUCAUCCAAACACAGCUGCAACAUAUAUUAACGUAGCCAUGAUGGAGGAAGGCUUGGGCAAUGUGCAUGUAGCUCUUAGGUACUUGCACAAAGCUUUAAAAUGCAACCAGAGAUUACUUGGGCCUGAUCAUAUCCAGACUGCUGCAAGCUACCAUGCUAUCGCCAUUGCUCUCUCGUUGAUGGAAGCUUAUUCGUUGAGUGUUCAGCAUGAGCAGACAACCUUGCAAAUCCUUCGUGCAAAGCUUGGACCAGAUGAUCUUCGGACUCAGGAUGCUGCAGCCUGGCUUGAAUACUUUGAAUCGAAAGUAAUUGAGCAACAAGAAGCUGCCCGCAAUGGAACUCGAAAACCUGAUGCAUCAAUAGCUAGUAAAGGACACCUAAGUGUAUCUGAUCUUCUUGAUUACAUCAAUCCCAACGAAGAAAACAAAGGAAGAGAUUCUGAAUCAGGCAAGAGGAGGUACUCAAGCAUAAAGGUUUUAUCACAUUCGAGUGAGAAUUCAAACGUAGCAAGUCCUGAUAUAUCUCCAAGAGAUUCUGCUAUUGCAUUCAAAGAUGAGGAAAAACAAAUUAAAGAGCCGUUGCAAGAUGAUAGUGCUAAUAUCAUGGAUAUUCCUGAAACUGAGGUUAAAGAGAGUCCUUUACCCUUGAAGGCUUCACCACCUUCUGAACAGCUGGUAGAGAGAUCUGAGGUGAACAUCAGUUCACCUGAGGAAGUUUUUGAAGGUGGAAUACUAGAACAGGAUGAUGGCUGGCAGCCUGUUCAAAGACCUAAAUCAGCGGCAGUUUUAGGUAAACAGAUAAAGCAUUACAGUGCUGCCAUCAGAAGAUAUGACCCUGAGAAUCAUGCUCCAACAGAUGCUUCCCAAUAUAAGCCAAGGAAUUCCUAUUCAAAUAACCGUUAUUACUUCUUAAAGAAGAGAACUGUCGUACCUGCAGCAUACACAGAUCCUCAGCAGCAUAUGAAAGUCCAGACAUCAAGUGUCAGGUUUGGUCGUAAGACAUACAAGGCUACCUACCGGGUUAAGCCAGGGACAGCAUCCACGGAAGUGCAAGAUACUUCUAGGAUCACAGAGCAGAUGAGUGGUAAAGAAGAAUCCCAAAUAUCUUAUUCACAUGUACACAAUCGUUCAGCAGAUCUGAAAGGAAGUGAGCCACAUGGACCUUGGGUUGAAAGUACUGGAAACGCACCAUCAUACAAAGAUGUUGCAUUGGCACGUCCAGGUACAAUAGCCAAGACUCAAAUACAAAAACCUAGAGAUGAUGUACUGCAACCAUCACUUGGUCAAAUUAUCGCACAAGAAAUGAAGGAUUCCUUGGUAGAUGCAGUUCAAGUGGACCAGAGGUCCGUCUCCUCAAGUACCAAUAAUUCCAAAGAGGUACACAUUGUGCCAGCAGAAAUGCAGCAUUCAGAAAAAAGAGAAGAGUCACAUAGGGAACAUGAGAUUGACAACACCGAGAAAGAUAGUUUACCAGAUAAGGUAACAGCAGAUAAUGAGAAACCUUCUGGCAUUGGCCCUGCAGAUAGUAAAACAGACACGUCCUUAUUCAGUAACAAAGAUCAAGAACCAACAAGUAGUGACAAUUUUGGUGCUGCCACUGAGUUCUCAGAUUUGGCAGUACCCACAGAAGCUGAAAAGAGUGGGAAAACUGGCAUACAAUUUCUUGAAGAAUCUCUACCUACUAAUAGUGAACCUAUUACAGUCUCAGAGCAUACAAUAAGUAUGCAGGGAGGCGUUGGAGGUGUUGAAAGUGAGAAGUCAAAGCCUGACUUGCUUCUAAGUAAUAUUGAUAUAAGAGAGAUAUCUAAUAAGAAGCUAUCUGCUGCUGCACCUCCAUUCAAUCCGUCUCCUCCAGCUAUCCUUAGCCCAAUUGCUGUAAGUGUCGGUCUCCCACCACCAGGUGCCGUUCCAAGCGGCCCUUGGCCUAUGAAUAUCUCCAUGCAUCCUGGACAUUCAAAUAUGGUGCCAAACGGUCCUCCUCUGUGCACAUCCCCACAUCAUUCGUACCCGCCCGCUCCUCGGUCUCCUAAUCUCUUGCAUCCUGUGCCAUUUAUUUAUCCACCAUAUAGUCAAUCGCAGAUGGUUCCAAGCAGCACAUUUCCCAUGAACACUACUAUAUUUCGCCCUAACCAUUAUGGAUGGCAACCUUAUAUGAGCCCAGCUGCAUCUGAGUUUGUGCCUGGACCAGCAUGGUCAAACAAUCAUCCAGUCGCUUACACCCCCAGCCCAAAUGUUGCUGACACUAUUUCUCAGUCAAUAGCAGAUUCACACGUCCUAUCUGAUGCAGCUGUUGUUAGUAUAGGACCUUCACUGGACAGCAAUAUGGUUGCAGUAAAGGAGGAAAUGGAGGUCCCUCUGGAGGUAGACACUGGUAAUUUGAUCCGCAAUAAUAUUUUGGGAGAGGAACAUGAUAAAGAGUUAAAGGAUGCUGUUAAUGCUGCACUUAAUCCUCACAUGCCAGGAGACAGCAUAUUUGAUAUUGGUGGAACGAAACUGGGAGGCAACAUGAAGAAUGAAGAUGAGGGUAGCUUUAGGAUAUUUGUAAAGGGGAAAAGCAGGCGAAAGCAAACUCUGAGGAUCCCGAUAAGUUUGCUUAACAAGACAUAUAGCGCACGUUCCUUCAAGCUUGACUUCAACAGAGUAGUCAGAGAGAGUGAUAUCUUCAGGCCAUCGGGCGUUUCUUCUGCUGAAGUAGUUUCUUCUGGCGACUGAGGAAUAUUCCACCAGUCAAAUAUUUACCUAUGACAUUAUUACCCAAAGAGAAUUCGAUGGAUCUCCAUUUGAAAAAUACUGAAAUGUGACUCUUAUUUUUAUCUGAGCAUUUGGAAGGCAGCAACAAUGCUCCUUCAGUGUUCCAGAUCUGAUCCAAGCUACUCUGAAAAGAUAAAUGUGUUUUCUUUUCCGACUUCAAAUAAGGUGUCGACAAUUCCGUGUGGAGUGUAGCAGAUUGCCGAGAGUUUUGCGAGAUCCGGAACCAAUAAAAGGUGGAAGUGUUAGCAAAAAAUACAUGGCAGACUGAUUCUUUACUACAAUUUUGAUAGACUAAGUAGAAUAUUUUCCUCCAAAAUUUGGGCUAAAUUUUGGUCGUAUGGAACUUAACUUCUAGAAACUUAGAAAUUUGUUUGCUCCUGCAUCCUGAAAUAAUCUCUCGUGUCUUUUGUGAGAGAAACUAAUGUUAUUCUUUUGAUGAUGAGAAUUAGUAAUAAGAGCAUCUCCGGCAGCCCCGUUCUCCC